GUGGCAGCAGCCGCGGUAAUACGUACCGUCCAAACGUUAUUCGGAAUUACUGGGCUUAAGGGGUACGUAGGCGGCGCUGUUAGUCGGGUGUGAAAUCCCUCGGCUCAACCGAGGAAUUGCGCCCGAUACUGCAGUGCUUGAGGGGGACAGAGGUAAGCGGAACUGAUGGUGGAGCGGUGAAAUGCGUUGAUAUCAUCAGGAACACCAGUGGCGAAAGCGGCUUACCGGGUCUCUUCUGACGCUGAGGUACGAAAGCUAGGGGAGCGAAGGGGAUUAGAUACCCGAGUAGUCC
This 292-nucleotide ribosomal RNA is filed under the name uncultured bacterium. RNAcentral describes it as "partial 16S ribosomal RNA". It matches the Rfam family "Bacterial small subunit ribosomal RNA", at positions 505 to 796 of the family's 1533-position model. The record is from RNAcentral.